This 74-nucleotide non-coding RNA is filed under the name Paramuricea clavata. Lineage: Eukaryota; Metazoa; Cnidaria; Anthozoa; Malacalcyonacea; Plexauridae. The record is from RNAcentral.
CAUCAUCGGUGCACUAUGCUGAUGAGCCCCAAAAAGGGCGAAACAGCUAUCCACAGUUGCCGUUGUUUGAGCUU